UCUCGACUGAAUCUCCGAGCUUCUGCCUCUGCACCGGGGAGAAGACAAAGAACGUCACUCCAGAAGGGGGCAGACCUGCUGCUUCCCGUUCUUUCUCUAACCUGCUGGAGCCCCACCUCCCCUCCUCCUACCUUCCCAUCCUGACAUGAGUUUCCUGACCCGGUGUGGGGAACCAUGGAAAGGGCUGACUGAGGAGAGGAAGGCCAGGGAGACAGCUGCCUGCCUGAUCGGGGGGUCGAGGUGUGUGUGUGUGUGUGUGUGGGAGGGGGUGUCGUCUAGAUUGGUCCUGAGAAUAACCCAUGGUAGCUUUACAGCACACACUUGACUGCAGAGAGAACCAAAAUGGCCUGAUAUAGCAACGGGUGGAUAGCAUAUACUGUUUACUGUGUGUAUAUCUACAUAUACAUAUAUAUUAUAUAAUGUAAAAAUGACUCUGUUGGCUCCACACACUCUCUCUGAGCUCAUGUAGUUGCUCGCCAGACAAUUCAUCACCGUUUGGUCCGUUUGCCAAAAAACCCAAACAAAAGACCAACAAAGGAUGACUGAGGUUUAAACCCCGUGUUGGACUGUGUCCGCGGUUUUGAUGAAGCCUGAAACAGGCUCCUCUGCUCUGCCUCAGCAGAUGUGGGCCAGCCUGUUUGACCUGUGUGGACAGGUUUUUCACUUUGUUCAGUGAGUCACACUCGAUAAAAUGAAAUGUAUUUUCCUGUGUGACCUUUUUUGUAAGUUCCUAAUCUCUCACCGAAUUUCCACCAGCAUCCGAAUAUCCAGUCAUUUAAGACUGACUCACCCAGUUAACUGUGUAUUUAUUCAACUUUUGUAUAUCCGGUAAAAACGGAUCAUCUGCCGAAUCCGUCGCCAAACGGCAACAAGUCGUGUUUAAAUAGUUUGGUGGGUGGUGUUUUUGCUUAUUUAAAGCUAGGGUCUGUAGUUUCUGAGAUCCUCAUCACAUCCAGAUAACCAUCGAUAAAUAAAAGCCGUUAUCUGUGAUUGA
Long non-coding RNA from Solea senegalensis (Senegalese sole), 994 nucleotides. RefSeq lists it as uncharacterized. The transcript is spliced from 2 exons. NCBI's taxonomy places the organism in Eukaryota, Metazoa, Chordata, Actinopteri, Pleuronectiformes, Soleidae. The record is from RefSeq and is a predicted model, not a curated record.